Molecule: ribosomal RNA, 279 nt
Filed under: uncultured bacterium
Lineage: Bacteria
Description: partial 16S ribosomal RNA
Rfam family: Bacterial small subunit ribosomal RNA
Source: RNAcentral
UGCCAGCCGCCGCGGUAAUACGGAGGGUGCAAGCGUUAAUCGGAAUUACUGGGCGUAAAGCGCGCGUAGGCGGAGUAUUAAGUCUCAUGUGAAAUCCCAGGGCUUAACCCCGGAACUGCCCUCAAAACUGUCGAUCUAGAGACCGGGAGAGGUAAGCGGAAUUCCUAGUGUAGAGGUGAAAUUCGUAGAUAUUAGGAAGAACACCAGUGGCGAAGGCGGCUUACUGGACCGGUACUGACGCUGAGGUACGAAAGCGUGGGGAGCGAACAGGAUUAGAUA